CCUACGGGGGGCAGCAGUGGGGAAUAUUGCGCAAUGGGCGAAAGCCUGACGCAGCGACGCCGCGUGAGGGAUGAAGGUCUUCGGAUCGUAAACCUCUGUCAGCAGGGAAGAACGGUCACGGGGCUAAGCAGCAGUGAAUGGACGGUACCGGCAAAGGAAGCACCGGCUAACUCCGGGCCAGCAGCCGCGGUAAUACGGAGGGUGCGAGCGUUAAUCGGAAUUACUGGGCGGAAAGCGCGCGUAGGCGGUAUGUCCAGUCCAGGGUGAAAUCCCCGCGCUCAACGUGGGAACGGCCUUUGAAACUGGCAACCUGGAGUGUGUGAGCGGAUAGUGGAAUUCCCGGUGUAGGCG
This 351-nucleotide ribosomal RNA is filed under the name uncultured bacterium. RNAcentral's name for it is "partial 16S ribosomal RNA". It matches the Rfam family "Bacterial small subunit ribosomal RNA", at positions 338 to 681 of the family's 1533-position model. The record is from RNAcentral.